This 433-nucleotide ribosomal RNA is filed under the name uncultured bacterium. RNAcentral describes it as "partial 16S ribosomal RNA". It matches the Rfam family "Bacterial small subunit ribosomal RNA", at positions 29 to 507 of the family's 1533-position model. The record is from RNAcentral.
AACGAACGCUGGCGGCAUGCCUAACACAUGCAAGUCGAACGAGACCUUCGGGUCUAGUGGCGCACGGGUGCGUAACGCGUGGGAACCUGCCUUUAGGUUCGGAAUAACUCAGAGAAAUUUGAGCUAAUACCGGAUGAUGUCUUCGGACCAAAGAUUUAUCGCCUUUAGAUGGGCCCGCGUUGGAUUAGCUAGUUGGUGGGGUAAAGGCCUACCAAGGCGACGAUCCAUAGCUGGUCUGAGAGGAUGAUCAGCCACACUGGGGCUGAGACACGGCCCAGACUCCUACGGGAGGCAGCAGUGGGGAAUAUUGGACAAUGGGCGAAAGCCUGAUCCAGCAAUGCCGCGUGAGUGAUGAAGGCCUUAGGGUUGUAAAGCUCCUUUACCCGAGAUGAUAAUGACAGUAUCGGGAGAAUAAGCUCCGGCUAACUCCGUG